Long non-coding RNA from Artibeus jamaicensis (Jamaican fruit-eating bat), 2154 nucleotides. RefSeq lists it as uncharacterized. The record is from RefSeq and is a predicted model, not a curated record. NCBI's taxonomy places the organism in Eukaryota, Metazoa, Chordata, Mammalia, Chiroptera, Phyllostomidae. The transcript has 4 exons.
AUGAAUGAAUGAAUGAAUAAGCAAACCAGAGGGAAUAAAGGGGGGUGGGGCAGGGAGCACAGACAAUGGUCUUUGUCCCCCUGGGGCAAGGCCCUGGCACAACCAGCAGCAGACUGCAGCCAGGGCCCUGGAGGGGGACGGUGGCUCUGUUGGGUGGGAAGGACAGCGUGGCUGAGCCCAUCUCUCUUUCCUGGGUACACGGCCCACUUAAAGCCCGAAUUCUUAAGUCCCACUGCGGUAUUAACAGGAUCUAUGUUAAGUGGGCUGCCCUGGGUUCCUCUUGGAGGAAAUCCACUUUGUACUUAAAUAAAUAAUACAAUAAAUUACGAACAGGAUCUCCAUGCUUCUCUGGGGCAAAAAGACCAGCUUUCUCUUUAAAGCUCACAAAGGACCCUGAAAAAAUAACAUUAUUAGUUUAGUCCCUAAACAGACAAGUACAGGCUCAAGCUGCUGAUAAAGAACACCUGGAAGUACAGGACUCACACCUGGUGGUUCACAAUUACCCUUGGACUUUAAAGGCCUCGGAACAGGUGCAGCUGGCGUGGUAUGGAGGGUCUGGACCCGGGUCCUGGACUCACAACGUGAGCACGGCCAAGACCCCUGGAUGGCCUUUCUCUCGACCAUGGGGGCUACUCUCCUACCCCCACCCCAGGUGACCUGAUCCCCUCCUCCAGCCUCCCCGUGUUUUUCCUCCCCACUCCUGUCAGGCGGCCAUUCCUGGCUUUGAAAUCACAGAUGCUGGCAGCAGGAAGGGCCCUCAGGGACCAGGAAGCCCACUGGUUUCUGAAACAUGCUCUGAUGGGCAGAGGCAGUGACAGGCCCCCUCUCCCACUGGCGCCGUGACAACGGGAGCAGCGCAGCUGUCCCUGAUGGUUGGUCCAUCAGAAAUUUUGUUGGAGAAAUUCCGUGGCUAUAAACACACGUUGUAAGCUCGCUGCCCUCCUCCCCCAAAUUUAUAGAAGGGAAACCAAGGCUGAGACUUAGGUAAUAGGGAAUCCAGUGCUGCGCUUGGGUCAGGCCUCCCUACCCACCAGGCCAGGGGUCUGGUCUCUUCGUUCUGCCUGGGGUCAGUAAGGGAAGGAGAAGCCUUCCAGUGGAGAAGGGAUUGUCCACGUGGUGUGGGAGCCCCGUGUGGGUGGGGGGCUCUCCUGCAGGCACAACCCCACCACUAGAAUCCUGGAUCGUCGGUUAUGCCUUCUGUCCAGCGUAAGGGUGAGAGGCAGGAACGCCUCCAGUUCAGACUCUGGAGGUGUGAGUCUUUGGCUCCUCCAGCCCAGGGGUGUUGGGCGAUUCAGUGUCCUUGUCAGUGUGGUGGGAAGCACGGGCAAGCCCGUCUCUCUCUUCCAAGGCUGAGCGGAUAGAUGAAAGCUGGCCCCAGCCACUGAGCUGGGUGCUCCAAGCUGAGGUGGCAUCUGGACAGCUGUGAAGGCCUUGUUUGCAUAUAUGCUAAUGAACUCCUGGCUCCUCUCUUUCCCGGCAUCAUCCAAGCAGGCCCAGGUGCUGUUGGAAGAGUCCCAAAUUCUGCAUCAAAAUUAGGGUUUUUUUGGUCUCCCACUGUGAAAUUUCCUUUGAACUUCUUCCAAGACCCUGUGACCUUUCCCAGUCCCCAACUGCACCACCUGCCAGUCAUGUCAGCUUCCCAAACCCUAUGAAUUAGAGCUGAAGAAACAUGUUUACAGACAGCCACAGUGGUGGACAUGUAAGGGUGGGAAAUUAUAACCCACCCCACCAUUCUUUUCACAUCGUUUCUGUAAGUGCUGACUCUAAUAUGUGACUUGUAGAUCAACAGCAUGUUUGCUUGAGAAUCCUAGGAACUAGUUUCAAAAGGUGCAGACCCUGACCUUCAGGCAUCCCAGCUCCGGCAGAUUUGCUGACCUUCAACCAUUGGAGACAGGAUGAUGUGCAGCCAGGAUGACGAAACCAGGAUGAUGAGCACUGGACCAUCACUUGCUCUACUGGAAUGCACUGUGCUCAUUUGCAUGCAGAGAACUUUGCAACCCCCUCCCUCGAUCUCUUUGUUCUGUUCCCCUCUCCCUCCCGCCGACUUCUGCCUCCACUGAGAUGGGGAGAUGGAAUUUGAGAUGUGAGUCCCCUGUCUUCUAGGACAUGGGCUCUGUGACGAGUCUCCAUCUUCCAGAUGGUCAGCAUCUAUAA